Molecule: long non-coding RNA, 289 nt
Organism: Lucilia cuprina (Australian sheep blowfly)
Lineage: Eukaryota; Metazoa; Arthropoda; Insecta; Diptera; Calliphoridae
Exons: 2
Source: RefSeq, a predicted model, not a curated record
UAACAACGAAAUAGAAAAAUUAAAACUAAACAAAAAAUCUAAAGAAAACGACUGAAAAAUAAACGAAAUUAAGCAAAUGAAAAAAAGAAAAAUAAGUUACUGAACAAAAAAAAUUAAUGAAAAAAGAAACGAGAAGAAGAAGCAAGCAAGAAGAUAUUUUUUUUGGAUUAAAACAAUCUACUACCAGCAGCAGAACAUUAGAACGAUACAUCACAAGAACAGUAACAACAACAAUUAAGAAAAAACAAUUUAUAGCUAAGAGUGCAAAAAAAUAAGAAAAAAUCUAAAA